UACGUAGGGUGCAAGCGUUGUCCGGAAUUAUUGGGCGUAAAGAGCUCGUAGGCGGUCUGUCGCGUCGGCUGUGAAAACUCGGGGCUCAACCCCGAGCCUGCAGUCGAUACGGGCAGACUAGAGUGCGGUAGGGGAGACUGGAAUUCCUGGUGUAGCGGUGAAAUGCGCAGAUAUCAGGAGGAACACCGGUGGCGAAGGCGGGUCUCUGGGCAGUAACUGACGCUGAGGAGCGAAAGCGUGGGGAGCGAACAGG
RNAcentral lists this ribosomal RNA (253 nucleotides) under uncultured bacterium. RNAcentral's name for it is "partial 16S ribosomal RNA". It matches the Rfam family "Bacterial small subunit ribosomal RNA", at positions 524 to 776 of the family's 1533-position model. The record is from RNAcentral.